This is a long non-coding RNA of Ochotona curzoniae (black-lipped pika), 909 nucleotides long. RefSeq lists it as uncharacterized. Lineage: Eukaryota; Metazoa; Chordata; Mammalia; Lagomorpha; Ochotonidae. The transcript has 2 exons. The record is from RefSeq and is a predicted model, not a curated record.
AAUACUUUAAAAACAUUCUAGACAAAUCAUCUUGUACAGAAAGACUCAAGAAUAGUAAGGAAUUGAGCAGAGACAAUGGGAGUCCUUUGAAGGCCAAGAUAAAUGAUUGGGCCUUUUCCUUAAGGCACUUGGAAGUCAUGGGUUUUUUUAAAGUAAUGUCAAAUAAUGACAUUCAGAUUCCACUUCAGGGAAAAAAGCAGCAGCAUGUUGACCAUUGUAGGAACCCUGGGAAUUAAGUAGAGAAGACAGACCAUUGUUUUUCCUAAGAACAGACUGGGAAACUGGUGUUUGUAUUGAGACAAUAAGGAUUGAGUGAAUUCAUGCCAGAUUAUGCAUAUCAUUCAAAUCCUUGAAUAUCUGUGCUGUGAAGCAAGCAAGUUAUGUACCAGACUCUAACAUGCAAAAAUGUUUGCGAUACAACCCUUCUUCACAGUUUACUGAAAAUCAUAAGGAAGCCCUGCAGAAAUGAAGUAAAUCAUCCCACAGUACCAAAUUUCACAGGUUUUUGUCAAAUUCUUUUAAACCAGAAAGAAAAAAAAAACCAAAAGGUGUUACAGUUAGAUGAACCAGAAAGAAAAAAAAAAAAACAAAAGGUAUUACAGUUAGAUGAUUUUGGAUUCUUUCAUUAAUUGUAAUCCAAAUGCGAAUAAAACUAGCUUAGGAUGUCCUGGACAGUUACCAAAGGGUGUUGAUACUGUCAAAAUACUCUUGACUGUCCUGCUUUUGGAUUCUGCCGCAAGUCUGUUUCUGCAAGAAUUUUACGUACUGCCAAGAUGAAGAAAUAACACCCCUCCGCGGACUUAGCCAACUUGUAGGGAUGUGCGGAGGCAGUCAGGACACAGGACGCAGUCAGUGACAGCUGAGAAUUGGUAGAUCUCAUCUGGAAAAAUAAACAUGCCAGUAAACUUA